AACUAGCGUGGUAAAAACAUGCAAGUCGAGCGAAAGACGAGGAGCUUGCUCCUUUGACGUUAGCGGCGGACGGGUGAAAAAAAAGGAGGGUAACCUACCUAUAAGACUGGGAUAACUUCCUUCAAAAAGAAAGCUAAUACCGGAUAAUAUUUCGAACCGCAUGGUUCGAUAGUGAAAGAUGGCUCUGCUAUCACUUAUAGAUGGACCUGCGCCGUAUUAGCUAGUUGGUAAGGUAACGGCUUACCAAGGCAACGAUACGUAGCCGACCUGAGAGGGUGAUCGGCCACACUGGAACUGAGACACGGUCCAGACUCCUACGGGAGGCAGCAGUAGGGAAUCUUCCGCAAUGGGCGAAAGCCUGACGGAGCAACGCCGCGUGAGUGAUGAAGGUCUUCGGAUCGUAAAACUCUGUUAUUAGGGAAGAACAAACGUGUAAGUAACUGUGCACGUCUUGACGGUACCUAAUCAGAAAGCCACGGCUAACUACGUGCCAGCAGCCGCGGUAAUACGUAGGUGGCAAGCGUUAUCCGGAAUUAUUGGGCGUAAAGCGCGCGUAGGCGGUUUUUUAAGUCUGAAGGUGAAAGCCCACGGCUCAACCGUUG
RNAcentral lists this ribosomal RNA (602 nucleotides) under Staphylococcus haemolyticus. RNAcentral describes it as "bacterial SSU rRNA". It matches the Rfam family "Bacterial small subunit ribosomal RNA", at positions 38 to 618 of the family's 1533-position model. Lineage: Bacteria; Bacillati; Bacillota; Bacilli; Caryophanales; Staphylococcaceae. The record is from RNAcentral.